UAGAUGCUGAUAAUAUAAUUAAAACCAUUCGAGUAUGUCCAGGCAGUGCUACUGAUUCUUUUAUAUGGCAAUUCAGUGAAAUUCAACAAGAGCCUUAACAACUUAGAACCAACGUAGAUGUGCUCCAAAAUGAAGGACGAUAUUAUCUCCUGGGUGAUAAUGGCUACACACCUUCUCCAAUCUUACUUACUCCAAUAGUAGGCGCACUAGAAGGCUCACCAGAAACUGACUAUACCUACGAGCACAUAACAACAAGAUUUUAAAUUAAACAGUGUUUUGGAAUCUUGACUCGUGUUUGGCUCGUUAUGAGCAGAGCACGAAAAUUGAUCUACUCUCCAGAGAAAAUUAUCAAAAUAAUUAUUACAUGUGCAAUUUUACAUAAUUAUCUAAAACUAAAUGGGAUGUUAGAUGAUGUGUCACCAUUACAACCAGAGGACGAAAAUGUUCAAAUUUAUUAGCGAGGAAACAAUUAUCAAGCUGGAUUACAAGAAAGAAAUAACGCCAUUAACAUAAAUUAUAAUUGGUGAAGAAAAUGCAUGAUUUUUACACUUGAUUUGUUAUAGAUUAAUUUUUAUUAUUUCUAUUAUAUUUGUAAAAUAUGAUUUUGUUCAAUUAAAAUAUUUGUUUUAGAUAUCAUUUGAUUAGAGCCAUCAACAAUGUAACGCGAACAUUCAAAUCUCACGGAUUCUAGAUUUUUGUAUUAUACGCGCUACUGCUGCACUUUC
Nasonia vitripennis (jewel wasp) is the source of this 725-nucleotide long non-coding RNA. RefSeq lists it as uncharacterized. The transcript has 3 exons. NCBI's taxonomy places the organism in Eukaryota, Metazoa, Arthropoda, Insecta, Hymenoptera, Pteromalidae. The record is from RefSeq and is a predicted model, not a curated record.